UACUUCCCUGUUUUGCUUUCCUAAAACUCGUCGAACUAACUCACCGUUCCUAGUGCAAGUAGCAAAAAAUUUAAUGGUUGAUAUCCAAGGUUCCAAGUUCGAAUCCUAAUUGAUUCAUAUUUUCAGCUAAUUUUAUUUUUUAAAAAAAAAAUAAAUGAAACGGAUAGCAUGCUACCUUCCUCUCAAAAAAAACUCUUCAGACUAGUAACGUAGGCGGAUUCAGGGAAUCCAAUAAUCGAAUUCAAAAUUUGGAUCCGAACCCAAAACCAAAUCCAAAUCCGACAGAUUUGAAAAUUCAUAUCCAAAAUCAAAUCCGACCAAGAACUCGAAACCUAUACCCGAAACAAUUAUUUUUUUUUUACCAUAUUUCAAAACAUGUUAUAUUAAAAUCUAAAAUUUUAAAAUACAAAUUUAAAUAUAGAAUCAAGCAUACAUAUAGACCAUAUAAUGUGAAACCUAUUCGUGUUCGGAUCAGGUCAGGUUCGGGUUCGAGAUCCAGUUUGGUAUAGAUAAAAUUCAUGCCCAAACCUGAAUCCGCCUAAUUUUUGUUUCUUAUAUCCAUAUCCAAAAUCAUAUCCGUUUAGCAUCGAAUAAAUUCAUCCGGUUCGGAUUCGAGUAUCAAUACCCGUUGACAUCCCUCUUUUA
This 645-nucleotide long non-coding RNA is filed under the name Ananas comosus (pineapple). RNAcentral's name for it is "long non-coding RNA (ACOM_LNC005991)". The record is from RNAcentral. Lineage: Eukaryota; Viridiplantae; Streptophyta; Magnoliopsida; Poales; Bromeliaceae.